AACGAACGCUGGCGGCAUGCCUAACACAUGCAAGUCGAACGAGACCUUCGGGUCUAGUGGCGCACGGGUGCGUAACGCGUGGGAACCUGCCCUUAGGUUCGGAAUAACUCCCCGAAAGGGGUGCUAAUACCGGAUAAUGUCUUCGGACCAAAGAUUUAUCGCCUUUGGAUGGGCCCGCGUUGGAUUAGCUAGUUGGUAGGGUAAAAGCCUACCAAGGCGACGAUCCAUAGCUGGUCUGAGAGGAUGAUCAGCCACACUGGGACUAGGACACGGCCCAGACUCCUACGGGAGGCAGCAGUGGGGAAUAUUGGACAAUGGGCGAAAGCCUGAUCCAGCAAUGCCGCGUGAGUGAUGAAGGCCUUAGGGUUGUAAAGCUCGUUUACCCGGGAUGAUAAUGACAGUACCGGGAGAAUAAGCUCCGGCUAACUCCGUG
RNAcentral lists this ribosomal RNA (433 nucleotides) under uncultured bacterium. Its description in RNAcentral is "partial 16S ribosomal RNA". It matches the Rfam family "Bacterial small subunit ribosomal RNA", at positions 29 to 507 of the family's 1533-position model. The record is from RNAcentral.